This 291-nucleotide ribosomal RNA is filed under the name Prevotella sp. RNAcentral describes it as "partial 23S ribosomal RNA". It matches the Rfam family "Bacterial large subunit ribosomal RNA", at positions 2623 to 2925 of the family's 2925-position model. The record is from RNAcentral. Lineage: Bacteria; Pseudomonadati; Bacteroidota; Bacteroidia; Bacteroidales; Prevotellaceae.
GAGACAGUUCGGUCUCUAUCUAUCGUGGGCGUUGGAGUUUUGAGUGGUGCUGACACUAGUACGAGAGGACCGUGUUGGACAGACCUCCGGUUUGCCGGUUGUGCCGCCAGGCGCACCGCCGGGUAUCCGCGUCUGGAACGGAUAAGCGCUGAAAGCAUCUAAGUGCGAAGCCAUCCGCGAGAUUAGAACUCCUCAUCAGGGUCGUCGUAGACUACGACGUUGAUAGGGCGCAGGUGUAAAGACGGCGACGUCAAAGCCGAGCGCUACUAAUUGCCCGAAAUCUUUGGCCGU